UUUUUAAUAUAAGUAUGUCCCAGUCAGUAUUUGGGUCAUACUUAUACUAAAA
This 52-nucleotide microRNA precursor is filed under the name Equus asinus (donkey). Its description in RNAcentral is "mir-1302 microRNA precursor family". It matches the Rfam family "mir-1302 microRNA precursor family". RNAcentral also lists the same sequence under 1 other name. Lineage: Eukaryota; Metazoa; Chordata; Mammalia; Perissodactyla; Equidae. The record is from Rfam by way of RNAcentral.